UAGGGAAUCUUCCACAAUGGACGCAAGUCUGAUGGAGCAACGCCGCGUGAGUGAAGAAGGGUUUCGGCUCGUAAAGCUCUGUUAUUAAAGAAGAACGUGGGUAAGAGUAACUGUUUACCCAGUGACGGUAUUUAACCAGAAAGCCACGGCUAACUACGUGCCAG
This 164-nucleotide ribosomal RNA is filed under the name uncultured bacterium. RNAcentral's name for it is "partial 16S rRNA". It matches the Rfam family "Bacterial small subunit ribosomal RNA", at positions 355 to 511 of the family's 1533-position model. The record is from RNAcentral.